Non-coding RNA from Pelobates cultripes (western spadefoot toad), 519 nucleotides. Lineage: Eukaryota; Metazoa; Chordata; Amphibia; Anura; Pelobatidae. The record is from the annotation of a GenBank genome assembly.
CCACGAUCCAAUAGGACGGACAUCACAAUUCCUUUCCCUAGGGUCAAGUUAGGCCACUCAUGUUUGGACUUGGUUAGAAGAUGGCACUUGUCACAUUCCAAAUAUAGCAAAAAUGAGGCUUAAUUAUUAUUCUGUGGGGGUAAAUAUGAAUGUUUUUGUCCUUUGGAUAUGAUACUAGAACAAAGCUAAUGGCAUUUACAUAUCAAAGAGAUUUACUCAUCACUUACAAGAGACAUUCAGACUUUUUCCAAGUGUAGAACCUCACACCUUGCAGACUUCACAUCCAUAUAGUAAAAUCCUUUUCACAUUGCUAUGCCAUUCACACUACCCCUUCUGUCAUCUGACCUCUGUGGGGGUCCCAGCUUGUAACCCCUGUUGACCUCAGCAAUAGCAUCUCUGUAAUUUGUGCCAUUUACUACACAAAUUACAUUAAAAGAUGAUAUUCCAUAGUGUAAUAAUAAAUUAUACACCCUUGCCGUGACAGUCAUGACUUAUUUAAGCGUGAACUUCUAUUUCUGC